This 325-nucleotide ribosomal RNA is filed under the name uncultured eukaryote. RNAcentral's name for it is "partial 18S ribosomal RNA". It matches the Rfam family "Eukaryotic small subunit ribosomal RNA", at positions 1470 to 1796 of the family's 1831-position model. The record is from RNAcentral.
CCCUUAGAUGUUCUGGGCCGCACGCGCGUUACACUGAUGCAUUCAACGAGUGCUACCUUGGCCGAGAGGCCUGGGCAAUCUUUUAAACGUGCAUCGUGAUAGGGAUAGAUUAUUGCAAUUAUUAAUCUUGAACGAGGAAUUCCUAGUAAACGCAAAUCAUCAAUUUGCAUUGAUUACGUCCCUGCCCUUUGUACACACCGCCCGUCGCACCUACCGAUUGAAUGGUCCGGUGAAGCCUCGGGAUUGUGGCCAGUUCACUUUAUUGGGAGUUGGCUGCGAGAACUUGUCUAAACCUUAUCAUUUAGAGGAAGGUGAAGUCGUAACA